RNAcentral lists this ribosomal RNA (253 nucleotides) under uncultured bacterium. RNAcentral's name for it is "partial 16S ribosomal RNA". It matches the Rfam family "Bacterial small subunit ribosomal RNA", at positions 524 to 776 of the family's 1533-position model. The record is from RNAcentral.
UACGUAGGCAGCAAGCGUUGUUCGGAGUUACUGGGCGUAAAGAGUGCGUAGGUGGUGCCCUAAGUCUGUUGUGAAAUCUCCCGGCUUAACUGGGAGGGUGCGGUGGAAACUGGGGUGCUUGAGUGUGGGAGAGGUAAGCGGAAUUCCUGGUGUAGCGGUGAAAUGCGUAGAUAUCAGGAGGAACACCGGUGGUGUAGACGGCUUACUGGACCACGACUGACGCUGAGGCACGAAAGUGUGGGGAUCAAACAGG